GAUGAACGCUAGCUACAGGCUUAACACAUGCAAGUCGAGGGGUAACGAGAGGAAAGCUUGCUUUCCUUGUCGACGACCGGCGCACGGGUGAGUAACGCGUAUCCAACCUGCCCCCAACUAGGGAAUAACCUUGCGAAAGUAAGACUAAUACCCUAUAAUUUCCUCAGAUGUCAUCUGACGAGGAAUAAAGAUUUAUCGGUUGUGGAUGGGGAUGCGUCUGAUUAGCUUGUUGGUGGGGUAACGGCCCACCAAGGCAACGAUCAGUAGGGGUUCUGAGAGGAAGGUGCCCCACAUGGGAACUGGUACACGGUCCAAACGCCUACGGGAGGCAGCAGUGAGGAAUAUUGGUCAAUGGGCGGAAGCCUGAACCAGCCAAGUAGCGUGCAGGAUGACGGCCCUAUGGGUUGUAAACUGCUUUUAUACAGGAAUAAAGUUAGCCACGUGUGGUUAUUUGUAGGUACUGUAUGAAUAAGGACCGGCUAACUCUGUGCCAGCCGCCGCCGUAA
RNAcentral lists this ribosomal RNA (506 nucleotides) under uncultured bacterium. RNAcentral's name for it is "partial 16S ribosomal RNA". It matches the Rfam family "Bacterial small subunit ribosomal RNA", at positions 28 to 523 of the family's 1533-position model. The record is from RNAcentral.